Molecule: long non-coding RNA, 495 nt
Organism: Scatophagus argus
Lineage: Eukaryota; Metazoa; Chordata; Actinopteri; Scatophagidae
Exons: 5
Source: RefSeq, a predicted model, not a curated record
GCGUGUGUAUAUAUAGACGUGCAGCUUCGCUUGCCUCUUCCUCCGCUUCCUUCCGGUGGCCACCUGCUUGGCGUGACCACCGUGAUUGUUUGGCGUGGCCGUUGUGGGUGCACGAUCCUCUUCACUGAGGUUCCUGCUGCAGGAGUUCAACAGCCAGCUCAUGUGAUGUCACAGAGAAAAAAAAAAAAGAACAUCAACCGCACGCAGGAGACAACGGCUGCCGAGAACCGCUUCCGCUUCCUCUACCGUGACAUCCCAAAAGACGAGGCCUUGGGAAGUACUUGCCCAAACCCUGCAAAACUCCCGAGUCAACGGAUGCGGACAACGCAGAGAGCGGGGGCCACGUGAAGGCGGAGGUCAUUUCCGUGUCCGAAGGAUGACUGCAGAGGACAGCAUUUGACAUUAGAGGACAGCAGAACUUCAUCCAUGUUUUUUAGAUUGUACUUUGGUCAAGUAUUUUUAAAGUGACUAAGAAUAAAUUUCCAAAAAAAAGCA